Molecule: long non-coding RNA, 515 nt
Filed under: Ananas comosus (pineapple)
Lineage: Eukaryota; Viridiplantae; Streptophyta; Magnoliopsida; Poales; Bromeliaceae
Description: long non-coding RNA (ACOM_LNC040562)
Source: RNAcentral
GGUUGUUAAUUGCGGUAACUUUGCACAUGCAUCCUCCAAAUUUCAGUUUGUACAGGAAGGUCCUUCAAAGAGCAGCAAGGAAAAAUAAAAGAGGGAGUGGGGCAGGCACGAGAUUAUGUGUAGUCUUUGCAUUACUAAUCCAGGUCACCAGUUAUUGCAUAAACAAUUCAAAAGAAUGGUGCAAUGGCCUCUUAAAAGAGAUCGUCGAGAAGUGAGCAACUUUUUCUCUCAAGCAGCCGUUCAGUAUCAUUCUUAUUAGCAUUGCAUGCAAUUUCUACUUAAACUCAAGUGGUAUUAUUUACAAAUUCUUUUUAGGUUGCAGAUUGUACUAAUUGUUUCUUGUCAUUUUGUAACAAAGUUUGUAUUCUAAAUUUGUAUUUUCCGAAGUACAUGAAUUUGUUUAUUUGUUGGUUUGCAUCUGAGAGAACAUGUGUCUAACAGCCAUUUGGUAUGGCAUUUUUGCACUUGGCACUUGAAUUAUGUUCCACUAUUUAAAUUUUCAUUUGAGGUAUAAG